UAGCGGAGCGUGUGGUUUAAUUCGAGGGUACGCGAAGAACCUUACCUGGGUUUGACAUGAUGGUGGUAGCUUACAGAGAUGUGAGUGACCUUCGGGAGCCAUGACAGGUGCUGCAUGGUUGUCGUCAGCUCGUGCCGUGAGGUGUUCGGUUAAGUCCGCAAACGAGCGCAACCCUCGGCGUUAGUUACAAGUGUCUAGCGCAACUGCCCGUGGCAAACGGGAGGAAGGUGGGGAUGACGUCAAAUCAGCAUGGCCUUUAUAUCCAGGGCUACACACACGCUACAAUGGCGCAUACAAUGGGUCGCGAAGCCGCGAGGUGGAGCCAAUCCUGAAAGUGCGUCUCAGUUCGGAUUGCAGGCUGCAACUCGCCUGCAUGAAGUCGGAGUUGCUAGUAACCGCGA
This 401-nucleotide ribosomal RNA is filed under the name uncultured bacterium. RNAcentral's name for it is "bacterial SSU rRNA". It matches the Rfam family "Bacterial small subunit ribosomal RNA", at positions 930 to 1347 of the family's 1533-position model. The record is from RNAcentral.